GUGACUGCGUACCUUUUGUAUAAUGGGUCAGCGACUUAUAUUCUGUAGCAAGGUUAACCGUAUAGGGGAGCCGGAGGGAAACCGAGUCUUAACCGGGCGUUAAGUUGCAGGGUAUAGACCCGAAACCCGGUGAUCUAGCCAUGGGCAGGUUGAAGGUUGGGUAACACUAACUGGAGGACCGAACCGACUAAUGUUGAAAAAUUAGCGGAUGACCUGUGGCUGGGGGUGAAAGGCCAAUCAAACCGGGAGAUAGCUGGUUCUCCCCGAAAGCUAUUUAGGUAGCGCCUCGUGAAUUCAUCUCCGGGGGUAGAGCACUGUUUCGGCUAGGGGGCCAUCCCGGCUUACCAACCCGAUGCAAACUGCGAAUACCGGAGAAUGUUAUCACGGGAGACACACGGCGGGUGCUAACGUCCGUCGUGAAGAGGGAAACAACCCAGACCGCCAGCUAAGGUCCCAAAGUCAUGGUUAAGUGGGAAACGAUGUGGGAAGGCCCAGACAGCCAGGAUGUUGGCUUAGAAGCAGCCAUCAUUUAAAGAAAGCGUAAUAGCUCACUGGUCGAGUCGGCCUGCGCGGAAGAUGUAACGGGGCUAAACCAUGCACCGAAGCUGCGGCAGCGAACGUAUCACCCAAGACAACUUUACGGAGUUGACGAUUGACGGAGCGAAGCGACGUCAAAGCGUUCAUUAAAGUCGAGUUGGCUUAGGGAUACGUUCGUUGGGUAGGGGAGCGUUCUGUAAGCCUGUGAAGGUGUGUCGUGAGGCAUGCUGGAGGUAUCAGAAGUGCGAAUGCUGACAUAAGUAACGAUAAAGCGGGUGAAAAGCCCGCUCGCCGGAAGACCAAGGGUUCCUGUCCAACGUUAAUCGGGGCAGGGUGAGUCGACCCCUAAGGCGAGGCCGAAAGGCGUAGUCGAUGGGAAACGGGUUAAUAUUCCCGUACUUGGUGUUACUGCGAAGGGGGGACGGAGAAGGCUAUGUUGGCCGGGCGACGGUUGUCCCGGUUUAAGCGUGUAGGUGUGUGUUCCAGGUAAAUCCGGUUCACUUUAACACUGAGGCGUGACGACGAGGCACUACGGUGCUGAAGCAACAAAUGCCCUGCUUCCAGGAAAAGCCUCUAAGCAUCAGGUAACACGAAAUCGUACCCCAAACCGACACAGGUGGUCAGGUAGAGAAUACCAAGGCGCUUGAGAGAACUCGGGUGAAGGAACUAGGCAAAAUGGUGCCGUAACUUCGGGAGAAGGCACGCUGACACGUAGGUGAAGUGAUUUACUCAUGGAGCUGAAGUCAGUCGAAGAUACCAGCUGGCUGCAACUGUUUAUUAAAAACACAGCACUGUGCAAACACGAAAGUGGACGUAUACGGUGUGACGCCUGCCCGGUGCCGGAAGGUUAAUUGAUGGGGUCAGCGUAAGCGAAGCUCCUGAUCGAAGCCCCGGUAAACGGCGGCCGUAACUAUAACGGUCCUAAGGUAGCGAAAUUCCUUGUCGGGUAAGUUCCGACCUGCACGAAUGGCGUAAUGAUGGCCAGGCUGUCUCCACCCGAGACUCAGUGAAAUUGAACUCGCUGUGAAGAUGCAGUGUACCCGCGGCAAGACGGAAAGACCCCGUGAACCUUUACUAUAGCUUGACACUGAACAUUGAGCCUUGAUGUGUAGGAUAGGUGGGAGGCUUUGAAGUGUGGACGCCAGUCUGCAUGGAGCCGACCUUGAAAUACCACCCUUUAAUGUUUGAUGUUCUAACGUGGACCCGUAAUCCGGGUUGCGGACAGUGUCUGGUGGGUAGUUUGACUGGGGCGGUCUCCUCCUAAAGAGUAACGGAGGAGCACGAAGGUUGGCUAAUCCUGGUCGGACAUCAGGAGGUUAGUGCAAUGGCAUAAGCCAGCUUGACUGCGAGCGUGACGGCGCGAGCAGGUGCGAAAGCAGGUCAUAGUGAUCCGGUGGUUCUGAAUGGAAGGGCCAUCGCUCAACGGAUAAAAGGUACUCCGGGGAUAACAGGCUGAUACCGCCCAAGAGUUCAUAUCGACGGCGGUGUUUGGCACCUCGAUGUCGGCUCAUCACAUCCUGGGGCUGAAGUAGGUCCCAAGGGUAUGGCUGUUCGCCAUUUAAAGUGGUACGCGAGCUGGGUUUAGAACGUCGUGAGACAGUUCGGUCCCUAUCUGCCGUGGGCGCUGGAGAACUGAGGGGGGCUGCUCCUAGUACGAGAGGACCGGAGUGGACGCAUCACUGGUGUUCGGGUUGUCAUGCCAAUGGCACUGCCCGGUAGCUAAAUGCGGAAGAGAUAAGUGCUGAAAGCAUCUAAGCACGAAACUUGCCCCGAGAUGAGUUCUCCCUGAGACUUAGAGUCUCCUGAAGGAACGUUGAAGACGACGACGUUGAUAGGCCGGGUGUGUAAGCGCAGCGAUGCGUUGAGCUAACCGGUACUAAUGAACCGUGAGGCUUAACCUUACAACGCCGAAG
RNAcentral lists this ribosomal RNA (2450 nucleotides) under Salmonella enterica subsp. enterica serovar Typhimurium. Its description in RNAcentral is "partial 23S ribosomal RNA". It matches the Rfam family "Bacterial large subunit ribosomal RNA", at positions 593 to 2925 of the family's 2925-position model. Lineage: Bacteria; Pseudomonadati; Pseudomonadota; Gammaproteobacteria; Enterobacterales; Enterobacteriaceae. The record is from RNAcentral.